CAGUCGCCACGGUAAAACGAAGGGUGCAAGCGUUAAUCGGAAUUACUGGGCGUAAAGCGUGCGUAGGCGGUUUGUUAAGUCUGCUGUGAAAUCCCCGGGCUCAACCUGGGAAUGGCAGUGGAUACUGGCAAGCUAGAGUGUGUCAGAGGAUGGUGGAAUUCCCGGUGUAGCGGUGAAAUGCGUAGAGAUCGGGAGGAACAUCAGUGGCGAAGGCGGCCAUCUGGGACAACACUGACGCUGAGGCACGAAAGCGUGGGGAGCAAACAGGAUUAGAUACCCCAGUAGUCCCUGUCUCUUAUAC
Molecule: ribosomal RNA, 301 nt
Filed under: uncultured bacterium
Lineage: Bacteria
Description: partial 16S ribosomal RNA
Rfam family: Bacterial small subunit ribosomal RNA
Source: RNAcentral